Molecule: long non-coding RNA, 1453 nt
Organism: Solanum stenotomum
Lineage: Eukaryota; Viridiplantae; Streptophyta; Magnoliopsida; Solanales; Solanaceae
Exons: 6
Source: RefSeq, a predicted model, not a curated record
UCGUUUUCUUUGUCUCUAAACUCAAAAAUUGCAGAGAUGAUCUCGAAUGAGAAAACAUUCUCUUGGGCGCUGCGAGAGAAUAACUUCUUUCUCUCCUUCAAACCAAUAGUACAUUGUAGCAGGCGCCCACUUGUUCUACAACUCCUUCAAACCAAACUUAAUCUUGAUGAGAGUUCUUGCCCCAUCCUGGCAAACGAUUUCAAUGAAAUUCGUUCGGAAAUUUAGGUAUUCUUGAAUUGCAAGACUUUGUAGUAUUAGACUUAAUUUGAAUUUUGACUCAAUGUAUUUAAACUGGGUGUACAGCAAGUCUCAAGAUCAAUCAAGAAGACCAAAAAAAAAUAAGAGGGUUACUUCAAGUCUCAAGAUCAAAUCAAUAAAUUGUGAAGUAUUAUAAUUUUGGUGCAACACAUCAGAACACUUCUUCCGGGAUUGAAAUAAUGCAUUAGUGCUGCACUUGUGACUUCUGCAAAGGAGCAUGCUAGCUACGGGGAGAUCAUGGAGUCAAAGGCUGGUAUGGGUGCUCUCCUUCUGAACAUUCUUUUCAAGUACAGUGAAGGAAAUUUAUCCUUGUGAAGAUUUAACUGAUGAUGACAUCCAAACUGCCAUUCAAAAUGCAAUGGGUCCCAAAUCCGCUUUAUUUGUGCCAGAAGUCCCAUUUCAAGUUCACAUCUGAAGGCAAAUAGCAUGUUUCAUGAAACCGAGUUUUCAGUGUGCAAGAUUUAUAUAUGAUGAGCCGGUUAAAAUGAGCCACCAUUGUAUGGUCAAUGAGUUGCAACGUUCCCAAUUUUGAGAAAGUGCAUGGAUGAGGUUAUAGGAAUUUUUUUUGCAUGAAGGACUGGGACCUUCAGAAAUAAUGAUUGGACACAUCAUUGAGAUGGAGGUAUGUCAAAAUAUUGGGUCUUUUGUUUGGUUUUGGUUAUACCUAAAUACAACACACAUUUGCAUCUAUGAUCAAGUUUAUUGGAUUGUGGUUGAUAAGUGGGAACUAUUUUUGAAAUAUUUAGCUAGAAUUUGAAUCUGUUCUUGCCAGAAAAGUUGUGAAUUGCUUUAGCAAAUCACUAAAAUUCUUAUGAAUCUUUUGCUGUUUUUUCUUCAACUUAAUUAUUUUUUCUUUAUCAGAUGGAUUACAUAAAUACUUCAUGUCCAACGAAAAAAAUGAUCUCUUCACCAACAGUAUGUUUUGAGAAAUACUUUCACCUUGAAAUACUUAGACAUGCCUUACCUUGGCACUGGUGGUUGUGAAUAUUUUUUUUUUACACAGUAACCAUGUCUGUUCUGGCACAUGAGAAGCACAACAUGAACAUUUAUACACAUGGUUAAUAAUGUCCUUUAUAUAUACCUUUCUUUGUUGGGUUUACAGUAUAUGUGAGCAGGGAUGUACCAAGCAGCUAACUUUGUCUUGAAAAAAGCAUCAAAAUCUGGACACUCUUUUCUGUGAGACAAAUUAUAGUUG